UCCCAGGAAGCAAGCGCUGGGCUCCGGGGAAUGGCUGUGUCCUCGUGCCCUCUGAUCCAGAAGUAUUUCUCAGCUCUCCUUCCAAAGAUUUAAUGUUUUUAAUACUACAAAAUCCAAUGGCAUUAUUUGAGGGCUGCCUGUUCCUCCUUUGUGGCGGCAGGCUGACAGGAACAGGAUCUUUGGGUGAAACUGAUUGCCAGCACUCCAUCCUUUGCAGACAGUCUUAGAUGUUAGCUUUGCCCUGGAUAUCCUGGCUAACGGAAUGUGCUCUGGGGAAAAUUAACAGCUUGGGCAAGCACGGGCAAGUUACAGCUAUUCAGUGUCAGCCACUGGGGAAGCAGACUCAAUAGGAAGGAUGUGCCAUUUCCAUGCAGAACAUG
Molecule: long non-coding RNA, 380 nt
Organism: Rattus rattus (black rat)
Lineage: Eukaryota; Metazoa; Chordata; Mammalia; Rodentia; Muridae
Exons: 3
Source: RefSeq, a predicted model, not a curated record